Molecule: small RNA, 76 nt
Filed under: Xanthomonas arboricola pv. guizotiae
Lineage: Bacteria; Pseudomonadati; Pseudomonadota; Gammaproteobacteria; Lysobacterales; Lysobacteraceae
Description: sX9 sRNA
Rfam family: Xanthomonas sRNA sX9
Source: RNAcentral
AUGUACCACGCGUACACAGCGGUUCCUGCGCGCCGCCUGCAGCCACCUGACGACUGCUUGCUGCGUUUUGCUAGCC